AGAUCAUCAUUGGGCGUAAAGUGUGCGUAGGUGGUCGUUUAAGUCCGUUGUGAAAGCCCUGGGCUCAACCUGGGAACUGCAGUGGAUACUGGGCGACUAGAGUGUGGUAGAGGGUAGCGGAAUUCCUGGUGUAGCAGUGAAAUGCGUAGAGAUCAGGAGGAACAUCCAUGGCGAAGGCAGCUACCUGGACCAACACUGACACUGAGGCACGAAAGCGUGGGGAGCAAACAGGAUUAGAUACCCUGGUAGUCCACGCCCUAAACGAUGCGAACUGGAUGUUGGGUGCAAUUUGGCACGCAGUAUCGAAGCUAACGCGUUAAGUUCGCCGCCUGGGGAGUACGGUCGCAAGACUGAAACUUAAAAAAUUGACGG
Molecule: ribosomal RNA, 372 nt
Filed under: uncultured Stenotrophomonas sp.
Lineage: Bacteria; Pseudomonadati; Pseudomonadota; Gammaproteobacteria; Lysobacterales; Lysobacteraceae
Description: bacterial SSU rRNA
Rfam family: Bacterial small subunit ribosomal RNA
Source: RNAcentral